This 360-nucleotide long non-coding RNA is filed under the name Pan troglodytes (chimpanzee). Its description in RNAcentral is "lincRNA". The record is from RNAcentral. Lineage: Eukaryota; Metazoa; Chordata; Mammalia; Primates; Hominidae.
GUGGUUAUGAAAGCGCAUUGGCCAAGCUGGCUUUCCUUCCUCUGACCCCCAUCUAACUAUGGUGAACGCCCUCGUUGGGAUGAGGCCCCCAGGCUCCUGAUAGCAGGUAGAGGAGAGAACGAGAGCGCAAAGAGGGAAGCCGAGAGGAGUGAUGAAGACUCUGGCCCUACCAUCUACUCAGGCUGUCUUUGCAGCCACACUGUGAGCCCAGGCUGGUUAACGCUUCCUCCUGGAGGAGAAAAGCUAAGAGAGAAAACAAAAUCCAUACAGCGCGCUCCCCCUCGGCCCCUCCUCUCUGUCUCCUCUGUGCGCUAACCUCCAAUGCCCUGCGGGAACCAAUUACAGUAUUCUAAUGAGUGU